Molecule: ribosomal RNA, 643 nt
Filed under: uncultured bacterium
Lineage: Bacteria
Description: bacterial SSU rRNA
Rfam family: Bacterial small subunit ribosomal RNA
Source: RNAcentral
GUUGGCGGGGUAAUGGCCCACCAAGACGAUGAUCGGUAUCCGGCCUGAGAGGGCGCACGGACACACUGGAACUGAAACACGGUCCAGACUCCUACGGGAGGCAGCAGUGGGGAAUUUUGCGCAAUGGGGGAAACCCUGACGCAGCAACGCCGCGUGGAGGAUGAAAUAUCUUGGUAUGUAAACUCCUUUCGAUGGGGAAGAUUAUGACGGUACCCAUAGAAGAAGCCCCGGCUAACUUCGUGCCAGCAGCCGCGGUAAUACGAGGGGGGCAAGCGUUGUUCGGAUUUAUUGGGCGUAAAGGGUGCGUAGGCGGUUUGGCAAGUCUGAUGUGAAAUCUAUGGGCUCAACCCAUAGUCUGCAUCAGAAACUGCCGGGCUUGAGUAUGGGAGAGGUGAGUGGAAUUUCCGGUGUAGCGGUGAAAUGCGUAGAUAUCGGAAGGAACACCUGUGGCGAAAGCGGCUCACUGGACCAUAACUGACGCUGAUGCACGAAAGCUAGGGGAGCAAACAGGAUUAGAUACCCUGGUAGUCCUAGCCCUAAACGAUGAUUGCUUGGUGUGGCAGGUACCCAAUCCUGCCGUGCCGAAGCUAACGCGAUAAGCAAUCCGCCUGGGGAGUACGGUCGCAAGGCUGAAACUCAAAGG